GAUGAACGCUGGCGGCGUGCCUAAUACAUGCAAGUCGAGCGAACAGAUCAGGAGCUUGCUCCUUUGACGUUAGCGGCGGACGGGUGAGUAACACGUGGGUAACUUACCUAUAAGACUGGAAUAACUCCGGGAAACCGGGGCUAAUGCCGGAUAACAUGUUGAACCGCAUGGUUCUACAGUGAAAGGCGGCUUUGCUGUCACUUAUAGAUGGACCCGCGCCGUAUUAGCUAGUUGGUGAGGUAACGGCUCACCAAGGCAACGAUACGUAGCCGACCUGAGAGGGUGAUCGGCCACACUGGAACUGAGACACGGUCCAGACUCCUACGGGAGGCAGCAGUAGGGAAUCUUCCGCAAUGGGCGGAAGCCUGACGGAGCAACGCCGCGUGAGUGAUGAAGGUCUUCGGAUCGUAAAACUCUGUUAUUAGGGAAGAACAAAUGCGUAAGUAACUGUGCGCGUCUUGACGGUACCUAAUCAGAAAGCCACGGCUAACUACGUG
This 497-nucleotide ribosomal RNA is filed under the name uncultured bacterium. RNAcentral's name for it is "partial 16S ribosomal RNA". It matches the Rfam family "Bacterial small subunit ribosomal RNA", at positions 28 to 507 of the family's 1533-position model. The record is from RNAcentral.